UGGCUCAGCAGUAGAGUGCAUGCCUUGCAAGCAUGAGGCCCUGGGUUCGAUUCCUCAG
Molecule: transfer RNA, 58 nt
Filed under: Dipodomys ordii (Ord's kangaroo rat)
Lineage: Eukaryota; Metazoa; Chordata; Mammalia; Rodentia; Heteromyidae
Rfam family: tRNA
About the family: Transfer RNA (tRNA) molecules are approximately 80 nucleotides in length. Their secondary structure includes four short double-helical elements and three loops (D, anti-codon, and T loops).
Source: Rfam by way of RNAcentral